This is a long non-coding RNA of Sander lucioperca (pikeperch), 475 nucleotides long. RefSeq lists it as uncharacterized. The record is from RefSeq and is a predicted model, not a curated record. The transcript is spliced from 3 exons. Lineage: Eukaryota; Metazoa; Chordata; Actinopteri; Perciformes; Percidae.
UUCAUGAACAUUUCCACAUUCCAGUGCUAAUACAAACUAUAAAUAUAACUAUACAUUACAUAACAGUUGAUUAUUGUUGUAUGAUUUUACUUUGACUGUCAGCUGUGUGGCGACUGCAGUGCUUUUAUUGUCUCCUAGCUGCAGAUAUGCAGCCUCAAUGGAUGGCAUCUGGGAAGAAGAGGAACCUUCUAGAGACCAAGUGAAGGAACAUCUUCUCUGUGCUGAAGCUCUGAGAUGAGUGCAGAGUUUCCGGACCACAACGGAGAAGUUCCUUCACUCCAUUCAUGCCUUUUUCAUACCGUACUCACUGUAUACUCAUAGUAUUGUAUGCCAUGAAAAAAAUUAAUAAAAAAGUAAGUAAUAUAGUAGUAUGUAUUAUGUCAAAAAAUCUCUGAAAAAGUCAUACAGAAUGUCAAAAAGUGUUAUUACAUAGUUAUUACAUUGUAAUAACACUGUUAUAACAUGUGUUAUGUCA